This 825-nucleotide ribosomal RNA is filed under the name uncultured Acidobacterium sp. RNAcentral's name for it is "bacterial SSU rRNA". The stretch from base 185 to 812 matches the Rfam family "Bacterial small subunit ribosomal RNA", at positions 874 to 1520 of the family's 1533-position model. Lineage: Bacteria; Pseudomonadati; Acidobacteriota; Terriglobia; Terriglobales; Acidobacteriaceae. The record is from RNAcentral.
GAAAAAACGGAGGGCGGAGGCAGAAUUAUUGGGCCAAUUUCUUCAGUCGAGCGGCUAAAAAGGAUCGGGUCCCAGCCCGAGUUGCAUACCGCCCGUAUUCCUGGCCCUAAACCGAAGAAUAGAUUGCUUGCGGCGUAUUGAUCCCCUCCCUGGCCGAAGGUAAACGCAUUUAACCACUCCCGACUGGGGAGUACGGUGCCAAAGCCUGAAACUCAAAUGAAUUGACGGGGCCACGCACAAACGGUGGAGCAUUGGUUCAAUUGGACGCAACGGGAAGAACCUUACCCAGGCUUGAACAGCGAGUGACCAUUCCCGAAAGGGAACUUCCGCAAGGACACUCGUAGAGGUGCUGCAUGGCUGUCGUCAGCUCGUGUCGUGAGAUGUUGGGUUAAGUCCCGCAACGAGCGCAACCCUUAUCUUAUGUUGCCAGCACUUCGGGUGGGAACUCUAAGGAGACUGCCGGUGACAAACCGGAGGAAGGUGGGGAUGACGUCAAGUCAUCAUGGCCCUUACGGCCAGGGCUACACACGUACUACAAUGGGAGGUACAGAGGGAAGCGAAGCCGCGAGGUGAAGCCAAUCCCAGAAAACCUCUCUCAGUCCGGAUCGGAGUCUGCAACUCGACUCCGUGAAGUCGGAAUCGCUAGUAAUCGCGAAUCAGCAUUGUCGCGGUGAAUACGUUCCCGGGCCUUGUACACACCGCCCGUCACACCAUGGGAGUUGGUUGCUCCAGAAGUAGGUAGUCUAACCGCAAGGGGGACGCUUACCACGGAGUGGUCAAUGACUGGGGUGAAGUCGUAACAAGGUAAAUCGAAUUCCCGCGGCC